Molecule: ribosomal RNA, 475 nt
Filed under: uncultured marine eukaryote
Lineage: Eukaryota
Description: bacterial SSU rRNA
Rfam family: Eukaryotic small subunit ribosomal RNA
Source: RNAcentral
GUUAAAAAGCUCGUAGUUGGAUUUCUGCGGGGGCGGGGCGGCCGGAUGCUUAUAGCAUCUCGAGCUAGCACUUCCCCCGCAUCCUGCCGCGAACCGUGCUACCAUUAGUUUGGUGGCGCUGGGGAUCGGCUCGUUUACUUUGAGAAAAAUAGAGUGUUCAAAGCAGGCCACACGCCUUGAAUAAGUUAGCAUGGAAUAUGAUAAAGGACUUCGGCUCUAUUUUGUUGGUGUUCGGGACUGAAGUAAUGAUUGAUAGGGACAGUUGGGGCGUCAGUAUUCCAAAGCGAGAGGUGAAAUUCUUAGACCUUCGGAAGACUAACAGCUGCGAAAGCGUUCCGCAAGGAUGUUCCCUUUGAUCAAGAACGAAAGUUGGGGGAUCGAAGACGAUCAGAUACCGUCGUAGUCUCAACUAUAAACUAUACCAGCUAGGGAUCGGCCGACGUUUACUUAUAUCGACUCGGUCGGCACCUUAUGA